Molecule: non-coding RNA, 74 nt
Filed under: Terrisporobacter othiniensis
Lineage: Bacteria; Bacillati; Bacillota; Clostridia; Peptostreptococcales; Peptostreptococcaceae
Also listed under: 1 other name
Description: Fluoride riboswitch aptamer (crcB RNA motif)
Rfam family: Fluoride riboswitch aptamer (crcB RNA motif)
Source: Rfam by way of RNAcentral
UAAAAACACGGGAAUGAAGUUCUCCCAAAGUAUUUACUUAAACCGCAUUUUAUGCUGAUGACUUCUGUGAUUAU